GUAAGGAAUAUUGGACAAUGGACGCAAGUCUGAUCCAGCCAUGCCGCGUGAAGGAUUAAGGUCCUCUGGAUUGUAAACUUCUUUUAUAAGGGACGAAAAAAGGCUUUUCUAAGUCGUCUGACGGUACCUUAUGAAUAAGCACCGGCUAACUCCGUGCCAGCAGCUGCGGUAAUACGGAGGGUGCAAGCGUUAUCCGGAUUCACUGGGUUUAAAGGGUGCGUAGGCGGGCAGGUAAGUCAGUGGUGAAAUCCUAGAGCUUAACUCUAGAACUGCCAUUGAUACUAUCUGUCUUGAAUAUUGUGGAGGUAAGCGGAAUAUGUCAUGUAGCGGUGAAAUGCUUAGAUAUGACAUAGAACACCUAUUGCGAAGGCAGCUUACUACGCAUAUAUUGACGCUGAGGCACGAAAGCGUGGGGAUCAAACAGGAUUAGAAACCCCGGUAGUCC
This 445-nucleotide ribosomal RNA is filed under the name uncultured bacterium. RNAcentral's name for it is "partial 16S ribosomal RNA". It matches the Rfam family "Bacterial small subunit ribosomal RNA", at positions 354 to 796 of the family's 1533-position model. The record is from RNAcentral.